UAAAAUUUGCUAGAAAGGUCUUUCUUCU
RNAcentral lists this non-coding RNA (28 nucleotides) under Rattus norvegicus (Norway rat). The record is from RNAcentral. Lineage: Eukaryota; Metazoa; Chordata; Mammalia; Rodentia; Muridae.